AUCCAUUCCCCACCGCAAACCCCUACCUGUCUCCACCCCACCGCAAACCCCUCCUCCCUUCCCCUUCCAGAUCGCCGCCGUGCCGCCUCCCCAUCAGCUCCACCGGCGAGCCCUUCCUCACCGCAUCGCCACCCCCGCGCCCAUCCAUGGCAUCCCCCGCGCCCCUCCAUCAGCAUCCAUGGCCUCCCCCACGCCCUUCCUCACCGCAUCGCCACCCCAACCCCUCCCUUCUUCUCCCUGACGCUCCCCUUGCUCCGGGCCUUCAUCCUCUCCGGCCAGAUCAAUCGGGCGCGGCCCCUACCCUAGGCAGGGAGGGAAGAUCACCGCUGCGCGGGCGCACGGGAAGGGGCGGCGACGGAAGCGCAUCCCCAAGAUCUAGCCCAUCAAGCACCGUGUCGAAGUCUCUCCUUCAAGGAGCUCUAUGUGCGGGUGUGCGGAGGCGCUCGUGAGGGCGGUGGUGGCCUUCUUCGACGCCUUCCUCGUCGACUGCUUCCUCUUCUGGUUCCGCCGCUGCCACCGUCGCCCCGGCCCCAACAGCCACGCCUCCGCCCAUCGGGAUCCGCUCGUGCCCAAGGACUGGACAAGGGAGGCGCUCCCGGCCUCGGACGAAGAGAAAGGUUUUGCAGAGAGCACAUUGUUGAACCAGCAGUUGGCAGAUGGCGAUGACACAGAUGAGGAGCUUAGGCGAGAGGUACGCCUACCAGAGCACCAUUAAACGAAUUUCUGUUACUUUUUCAGUCACAUGCGUGAGGAAUGGUUGUGUUGUGCGGUUAUUGUUACUGUCAGGUUGUAGCUCUAGGUCUAUUGUGCUGUGGCUGACCUCUCUGCCACUGGUUGGAUGUCCGUGUGGUACUGUUUCAAGUUUUGCAGAGAGCACAGGCUCGAAUGAACAGUGUGUGUGGAACAGAUUCUUUUCUGAAUUCUCUUCUUGUGGGAGUAUGAACUUGCUUGCAGUAUCCUGCUUGCAGUAUCUUGGAGUAUCAACUUGGAGCAUCUGGUUAGAGUACCAUCUUGCAACACAUUCGAUUACUCCAGUACUGAUAGUUACAGUGGCAUCUUGCAAAAUGGAGUAGUUAGAGUAGCAUCUUCGAUUAACUAAAUUGAUGAUAGCUGUUGUUAAGUUGGGACUUGCAAGCAGUAGUUCCCUCUUCUUAUCUCUUCUUGCUUGCAGUAGUUUAAUUUAUGAUUUGUCUUUGGUGGAGUAUUUCUUGAACUGUGUUGUAUUCCCGUGACUAAAUAGUGAAUCCAGUUACAACAAAGCAUGCCAGUACUUGUCAUUGGUGGAGUAGUUUGACAGUGAGGAUUAGUGAUGUUCCCAAUUAAUUUGGUGUAGUUUUGGAAGCUCCGGCUCGAUUUCUAUCAUUUCUAGACAGAAGAUAUUUAUAUUUUUGUAAAUUUUCCUGACUGCAGCCAAUUUUGCUACGCAGAACACUACUUCAGUUAAUACACUAUCCAGUACUGCUAGUUCUCAUCUCACUUGUUGUGCUUCUUGUACUGGGAGCACUCUUUGUUAUCCCAAGAUCUAACAUCAAAGGUAAAAUGGGUACAUCUCUUGUCUUGUUGUAUUUGCAAGUUUGAAACUGGACUAGCAUCUUGGAGUAUUGUUGUACUCCAAUAGACUAAACAGUACAUACUCCAGUACUGAUAGUUAGAGUAGCAUCUUGGAGUAGGGUAGUCCACAUUUGUCUAACAUUAGACCAGAUUAUUCCGAUUAGUCCACAUUUCAUAUUAUUCUUGGAGCACUGUACUAUAGCAGCAGUACUGUAUUGUAGCAGCAGCAUGAGUAAACUGAAUACUCCUUCAUAUGUCUGGUUCCUUCUUAUUCUUCCUCAUAUUGUGAAAAUGGAUUCAUUCCUUCUUACGCACUGCACUGUACUGUAAUAUAGGCCAUCUUUCGAAUUAAUACUCCAAAAUUUAUCACUAUUGGAGGAUUGAUUGUUUCCAAAUCAAUACUCCUGGGCAUCAUUUAUGGCUGUCUAGUAGUCGACAUACUUCUGGUUCCAUUUAGUAUAUGCAGGUAGUAGCAGCUUAAGUGUAAUGUAGCUGUUUUGUUACUCUAUGCCUACUUCGUUACAGUUUGCAUCAUCUCCUUGUCGUUUAUAGCAUAAACGCCUUCACUAAUCUUGCUCUGAACCUCUGAUCCUGAUACUGAUUGUAUUUGUCUUGAUGGAAUUAUAGGCAACAUGGUGAAUCUAGUACAUGCAUCGUUGGCCAUCCUCUUCGAGGCUGUGUUUAGGUGAUUCCUCGGGUAGCCAUGACACUACUCUGGCUGAUUAGUACCUAGUGGCAUGUUUGUAAUAUUUACAGGGAUUUUACUUGUAGAAAUAAUGCUCAUGGUAUAUUUAUAUGUCCUGCAGCGCAUGCUCUUUUUCGGUCUGUACGGAAUCUUGAUAUGGUGUUUUGGCAGCUGGGAUAUUAGAUUGCAC
RNAcentral lists this ribosomal RNA (2426 nucleotides) under Triticum aestivum (bread wheat). Its description in RNAcentral is "partial small subunit ribosomal RNA". Lineage: Eukaryota; Viridiplantae; Streptophyta; Magnoliopsida; Poales; Poaceae. The record is from RNAcentral.